This 468-nucleotide ribosomal RNA is filed under the name uncultured bacterium. Its description in RNAcentral is "partial 16S ribosomal RNA". It matches the Rfam family "Bacterial small subunit ribosomal RNA", at positions 28 to 507 of the family's 1533-position model. The record is from RNAcentral.
GACGAACGCUGGCGGCGUGCUUAACACAUGCAAGUCGAACGGAAAGGCCCUGCUUUUGUGGGGUGCUCGAGUGGCGAACGGGUGAGUAACACGUGAGUAACCUGCCCUUGACUUUGGGAUAACUUCAGGAAACUGGGGCUAAUCCCGGAUAGGAGCUCCUGCUGCAUGGUGGGGGUUGGAAAGUUUCGGCUGUUGGGGAUGGACUCGCGGCUUAUCAGCUUGUUGGUGGGGUAGUGGCUUACCCAGGCUGUGACGGGUAGCCGUCCUGAGAGGGUGACCGGCCACAUUGGGACUAAGAUACGGCCCAGACUCCUACGGGAGGCAGCAGUGGGGAAUAUUGCACAAUGGGCGGAAGCCUGAUGCAGCAACGCCGCGUGCGGGAUGACGGCCUUCGGGUUGUAAACCGCUUUCGCCUGUGACGAAGCGUGAGUGACGGUAAUGGGUAAAGAAGCACCGGCUAACUACGUG